GUUCAUGUUUUCAUUUCUUGUAUUGCAAUUCUUGCAGAGCAUGGCACUUUCUGAUCACCCAAAGGGGGAAUUCAUAUCUCCGAAAACGAACAGAGAAUUCAGGGUGGAAGCCUACCCCAAUUUCAUUCCCUUCAUAGAUAGGAAAAAAUUAAGUUCGCAUCCAUAUAUUUUUGCUCCUGUUUGCCACUCGGGACAUUGGUGGUUAUGGCUGAUAAAUACAAGAACGCGGAAAUGUCAAAUACUUGACCCGCUGCACAAAAAAGCUCCAAGCCAUGAGAGAAAGGACAUUAAUAAAUUCACUGGAUAUGUAUUUUCGAGAUUGAUAGCAUAUGCCGGCGGGA
Molecule: long non-coding RNA, 341 nt
Organism: Arachis stenosperma
Lineage: Eukaryota; Viridiplantae; Streptophyta; Magnoliopsida; Fabales; Fabaceae
Exons: 3
Source: RefSeq, a predicted model, not a curated record